Molecule: ribosomal RNA, 1191 nt
Filed under: uncultured bacterium
Lineage: Bacteria
Description: bacterial SSU rRNA
Rfam family: Bacterial small subunit ribosomal RNA
Source: RNAcentral
AGGGUUUGAUCCUGGCUCAGGAUAAACGCUGGCGGUGUGCUUUAUGCAUGCAAGUCGAACGGUACCGAUGAGCCAAGCUUGCUUGGAACAUCGGGAGAGUGGCAAACGGGUGAGUAACACGUAAGCAACCUACCCCUAAGUAGGGGAUAACUCUGAGAAAUCGGAGCUAAUACUUUAUGUGGUGGUGAAGGUAAUGCUUCAUCACUAAAGCCUUCGGGCGCUUAGGGAGGGGCUUGUGUCCGAUUAGCUAGUUGGUAGGGUAAAGGCUUACCAAGGCGACGAUCGGUAGCUGGUUUGAGAGGACGGUCAGCCACACUGGGACUGAGACACGGCCCAGACUCCUACGGGAGGCAGCAGCAAGGAAUAUUGUGCAAUGGGCGAAAGCCUGACACAGCGACGCCGCGUGAGGGAUGAAGGCCCUCGGGUUGUAAACCUCUUUUCUCAGGGAAGAAAAAUGACGGUACCUGAGGAAUAAGUCUUGGCUAACUACGUGCCAGCAGCCGCGGUAAUACGUAGGAGGCGAGCGUUAUCCGGAUUUACUGGGCGUAAAGAGGGUGCAGGCGGUUCUUCAAGUCGAAUGUAAAAUCUCCCCGGCUCAACUGGGAGGGAACAUUCGAUACUGUUGGGCUAGAGUGCAGCAGAGGGAGGCGGAAUUCCCGGUGUAGUGGUGAAAUGCGUAGAUAUCGGGAGGAACACCAGUGGCGAAAGCGGCCUCCUAGGCUGUUACUGACGCUGAGGCCCGAAAGCGUGGGGAGCGAACAGGAUUAGAUACCCUGGUAGUCCACGCUGUAAACGAUGGACACUAGUAUAGGGAGUAUCGACCCUCUCUGUGCCAAAGCUAACGCGUUAAGUGUCCCGCCUGGGGACUACGGCCGCAAGGCUAAAACUCAAAGGAAUUGACGGGGGCCCGCACAAGCAGCGGAGCGUGUGGUUUAAUUCGAUGCAACGCGAAGAACCUUACCAGGCUUGACAUGGCGGAAGUAGCAUCUCGAAAGGGAGUCACUGUAGUCAGGAGCGUCACAGUGCUGCAUGCUGUCGUCAGCUCGUGCGUGAGUGUAGUAGUCUGUACGAGCGCCAACCCCUGUUGUCAGUAUUUUCUCUGGCGACUGCCCCGCAACGGGAGAAGGUGGGGAUGACUCAGUCGACGCUUAGCUGGCUAACACACACGCUAUACAGGGGGUGGUUACCAAG